Molecule: long non-coding RNA, 1367 nt
Filed under: Pan troglodytes (chimpanzee)
Lineage: Eukaryota; Metazoa; Chordata; Mammalia; Primates; Hominidae
Description: long non-coding RNA NONPTRT006667
Source: RNAcentral
CCCCUCUCCUAAUCCUCAGCACUUAGAGCCACAGCUGCAGGAUAUGGCAUGGAGAGAGGGCUCGUAGGGGCUGACCAGCAGGUGGGAUCCCACAGGGGGCACCAAGAGGCCAGCAGUGUUCCUGGAGAGUCCCUCAGAACCAUCUCCUAUAACAGAGUGCCCAUAGAGAGGACUCCUCCCCCUACCCCCCACCCCCAAGCUUCCUGGUCCUAUAGUGACUCUAAGGAGAAAGGGUGGAGAACAUCAGUGCAAUUCCACAUGGGGCUGGGAGUGGUAGUCACGUCAAACUGCAUCUUUAGGAAUCAAAUGGGAGGGGCAACUCCUCCCCUAUAUAGCUCACCACCCCACCGUAACCCUGCCCCUCCAGAAAGGCAACCUCCUUAAUACACACUGUCCUCCCUGUCCUCCCAUUCCACUCCACCCCCUUCAUCUCAGCCCCUCAGCAAAGCACAACUCACAGCUCCCUGUGCCUCAUGUCCCCAGCAGUUGCUGGGGAGCCAGCCUGCAGCUCCAGCCAACUUCCAAGCAGAAAUGGGAUCACAGACAAUGAGAACUCACACUUACUGGGACUGCCUGACCCCCUUAAACUCCACUACAAUCCCAUGAGGGAAGUACAGUACUGGGAUCACCAUCUUACAGAAGAAGAGACUGAGGCUUGAAGACGUUAAGCCACUUGUCCAAGGACCUCCAGAAGGAAGCAGUGGUACCGUAAGUGGCCACUGUUCUGCACCAGGCCCUCAACAGUCGCCUUCCCCGGUCGCUUCUCCCAUCCAUCCCAGCUCCUCCAGCCUUCACCCCGGCUAGACCGGCAGCCACCCCGUGGAUUGGGGAGAUAGAACUUCCAUCUCAAAGAAGUGAACUCUGCCCUCCAGCUACUACUCAGACUCUCUCCUGACAUGUAUUUAUAGAAUUUAGCUUAGGGGGCAGGAGAGGAGGGGUGGAGGCCAGCCAGGGAAGUGACCUUCACCAGUUCUCACUUUUCCUGCUUUGGGGGAAUCACUUCCCCUAUCCUUCAAUUCCAAUGUCCAACCAGAGGAGGGGUGAAAUGAGGUGGGCAAGGAGACAACCAUCUCCAAGGCAGAGAGCCAGGGAGAGAGCGGAGGACGAGGUGGGGCCCUCCCCCAGCUGCAUCCCAUCUGCCCCGGGCAGGCGGCCAGGCAAGGUUUGAGAUGGACUUCUCUUAUUGACAACCCAGAGGUUCCUGACUAACGCAUCAUUCGUCAAACGCUGUGCUCCUGCUCUAUGCCAGACUACACAGGGUGGUGGAAUCCGAGGAUGACUGCGACACAGCUCCUGCCUUCAAGGAGCCUGGAGUCUCCUGAGCCUUGUCCAAAUGCUGCUCCUCUGUGACUACUUGGCCAGCUCCC